This 225-nucleotide long non-coding RNA is filed under the name Musa acuminata (dwarf banana). RNAcentral's name for it is "long non-coding RNA (MACU_LNC004660)". The record is from RNAcentral. Lineage: Eukaryota; Viridiplantae; Streptophyta; Magnoliopsida; Zingiberales; Musaceae.
UUCACCCCCCUCUUAGUCCCGAUUCGUUCCUAACAGAAGGAACCAAACACCCAUAGGCUAGAGAUUUCUUGAUUCCCACCUCCUAUUCUACGCUCACUAUCGGAGCUGGGUAGGACCUUCAUGUAUAGGUCGCACGGGGUCGAUUCGACCCCUUCACUCUAAAACCAUCAUAACUUAAAUGAUCUCAGAAUCACUAUUGCGACUCCAAUCUAAAAAGCUUUCUUC